RNAcentral lists this ribosomal RNA (387 nucleotides) under uncultured bacterium. Its description in RNAcentral is "bacterial SSU rRNA". It matches the Rfam family "Bacterial small subunit ribosomal RNA", at positions 28 to 416 of the family's 1533-position model. The record is from RNAcentral.
GACGAACGCUGGCGGCGUGCUUAACACAUGCAAGUCGAGCGGUAAGGCCCUUUCGAGGGUACACGAGCGGCGAACGGGUGAGUAACACGUGGGUGACCUGCCCUCAGCUCUGGGAUAAGCCUGGGAAACCGGGUCUAAUACCGGAUAUGACUCCAUGACGCAUGUUGUGGGGUGGAAAGCCUUGUGCGGCUGAGGAUGGGCCCGCGGCCUAUCAGCUUGUUGGUGGGGUGANGGCCUACCAAGGCGACGACGGGUAGCCGGCCUGAGAGGGCGACCGGCCACACUGGGACUGAGACACGGCCCAGACUCCUACGGGAGGCAGCAGUGGGGAAUCUUGCGCAAUGGGCGAAAGCCUGACGCAGCGACGCCGCGUGAGGGAUGACGGCC